AUUGCCUAGUCACUGAAGCAUCAGAGAGGCAACAGGGAGGAUGCAGUUUUCAUUUUGUCCCAUGGACUGUGCUGGAAGGAACACGGGCUACAGAUCCUAAAAUCGUUUUCACUACCCAUGGAGAGGAUCAGUCAGUGGAGAAAAAAACCCAACAAACCAGACAAGCCAAAGAAACCCAUUAGAAACUGUCUUUGGAGUACGGGCUGAAAAUCAGGAUGGUGUGCUGAUGCAUCAUGAGUUUUCUGUAUGUCUGCUAGGACCCUAAGCUUUUCUGUCCAUCUGUGAAACCAUACUUCCUGUGGGAAGUCAGGCCAGUCCCCUGGAAGAGCACUGCCUGAGGAGAGAGGCUGGUUACAAGCACACAGUGAGGAAUCUCAGUCACAGCAGGAGGAGGGAGCACUGCUGUCCUCGCUGCAGCCCAGCCUCAUGACAGCGAUGUAGCCAUUCCACAGCUGCUGGGAAGGAACCGAGCCAAGAGAGAAACCCUCGAGCUGUCAAUAGAUCCAGAUGUCACUGCUGCUGCUGCUGCUGCUGCUGCUGUUGGAAAGAGAUACACCAGAGGUUGUCAUCUGGUCAGCUGGUCCAUCUGUCAACCAGAGCACUAAUAUGACUGUUUAUGGCAGCAGCCGUCUUCGUGUUUUAUGCAUCAGACUACCACCUUCAGCUCCUUUGAAAGGUUUCCACUGUUACAAGUUGAGCAUAAAACUCCAUUUCUACCUACAGUUAUUUUAUAUAUAUUAAACGAACUAACUAACUAAAUAAAUAAAAGGCUAUUUUUAAAAAGUUUCCCUUU
Long non-coding RNA from Cyanistes caeruleus (blue tit), 793 nucleotides. Lineage: Eukaryota; Metazoa; Chordata; Aves; Passeriformes; Paridae. The record is from Ensembl.